RNAcentral lists this ribosomal RNA (1369 nucleotides) under uncultured bacterium. RNAcentral's name for it is "bacterial SSU rRNA". It matches the Rfam family "Bacterial small subunit ribosomal RNA", at positions 28 to 1381 of the family's 1533-position model. The record is from RNAcentral.
GACGAACGCUGGCGGCGUGCCUAAUACAUGCAAGUAGAACGCUGAAGAGAGGAGCUUGCUCUUCUUGGAUGAGUUGCGAACGGGUGAGUAACGCGUAGGUAACCUGCCUUGUAGCGGGGGAUAACUAUUGGAAACGAUAGCUAAUACCGCAUAACAAUGGAUGACACAUGUCAUUUAUUUGAAAGGGGCAAUUGCUCCACUACAAGAUGGACCUGCGUUGUAUUAGCUAGUAGGUGAGGUAACGGCCCACCUAGGCGACGAUACAUAGCCGACCUGAGAGGGUGAUCGGCCACACUGGGACUGAGACACGGCCCAGACUCCUACGGGAGGCAGCAGUAGGGAAUCUUCGGCAAUGGGGGCAACCCUGACCGAGCAACGCCGCGUGAGUGAAGAAGGUUUUCGGAUCGUAAAGCUCUGUUGUAAGUCAAGAACGAGUGUGAGAGUGGAAAAUUCACACUGUGACGGUAGCUUACCAGAAAGGGACGGCUAACUACGUGCCAGCAGCCGCGGUAAUACGUAGGUCCCGAGCGUUGUCCGGAUUUAUUGGGCGUAAAGCGAGCGCAGGCGGUUUGAUAAGUCUGAAGUUAAAGGCUGUGGCUCAACCAUAGUUCGCUUUGGAAACUGUCAAACUUGAGUGCAGAAGGGGAGAGUGGAAUUCCAUGUGUAGCGGUGAAAUGCGUAGAUAUAUGGAGGAACACCGGUGGCGAAAGCGGCUCUCUGGUCUGUAACUGACGCUGAGGCUCGAAAGCGUGGGGAGCGAACAGGAUUAGAUACCCUGGUAGUCCACGCCGUAAACGAUGAGUGCUAGGUGUUGGAUCCUUUCCGGGAUUCAGUGCCGCAGCUAACGCAUUAAGCACUCCGCCUGGGGAGUACGACCGCAAGGUUGAAACUCAAAGGAAUUGACGGGGGCCCGCACAAGCGGUGGAGCAUGUGGUUUAAUUCGAAGCAACGCGAAGAACCUUACCAGGUCUUGACAUCCCGAUGCUAUUUCUAGAGAUAGAAAGUUACUUCGGUACAUCGGUGACAGGUGGUGCAUGGUUGUCGUCAGCUCGUGUCGUGAGAUGUUGGGUUAAGUCCCGCAACGAGCGCAACCCCUAUUGUUAGUUGCCAUCAUUCAGUUGGGCACUCUAGCGAGACUGCCGGUAAUAAACCGGAGGAAGGUGGGGAUGACGUCAAAUCAUCAUGCCCCUUAUGACCUGGGCUACACACGUGCUACAAUGGUUGGUACAACGAGUUGCGAGUCGGUGACGGCAAGCUAAUCUCUUAAAGCCAAUCUCAGUUCGGAUUGUAGGCUGCAACUCGCCUACAUGAAGUCGGAAUCGCUAGUAAUCGCGGAUCAGCACGCCGCGGUGAAUACGUUCCCGGGCCU